UUACUUACCUAGCAGGGGAGAUAUCAUGAUCAGGAAGGUGGUUUUCCCAGGGCAAGGCUUACCUCAUUGCACUGUGGAUGUGCUGACCUCUGCCAUUUUCCCUAGGGGGAAAAGUUGGGGGGGCAGUAUUGUGGUACAGUGGAUUAAACUGUCACUUU
This is a small nuclear RNA of Oryctolagus cuniculus (rabbit), 158 nucleotides long. Its record names the gene U1. It matches the Rfam family "U1 spliceosomal RNA". Rfam says of the family: U1 is a small nuclear RNA (snRNA) component of the spliceosome (involved in pre-mRNA splicing). NCBI's taxonomy places the organism in Eukaryota, Metazoa, Chordata, Mammalia, Lagomorpha, Leporidae. The record is from Ensembl.